AACGCGUUAAGUCGACCGCCUGGGGAGUACGGCCGCAAGGUUAAAACUCAAAUGAAUUGACGGGGGCCCGCACAAGCGGUGGAGCAUGUGGUUUAAUUCGAUGCAACGCGAAGAACCUUACCUACUCUUGACAUCCAGAGAACUUAGCAGAGAUGCUUUGGUGCCUUCGGGAACUCUGAGACAGGUGCUGCAUGGCUGUCGUCAGCUCGUGUUGUGAAAUGUUGGGUUAAGUCCCGCAACGAGCGCAACCCUUAUCCUUUGUUGCCAGCGGUUAGGCCGGGAACUCAAAGGAGACUGCCAGUGAUAAACUGGAGGAAGGUGGGGAUGACGUCAAGUCAUCAUGGCCCUUACGAGUAGGGCUACACACGUGCUACAAUGGCGCAUACAAAGAGAAGCGACCUCGCGAGAGCAAGCGGACCUCAUAAAGUGCGUCGUAGUCCGGAUUGGAGUCUGCAACUCGACUCCAUGAAGUCGGAAUCGCUAGUAAUCGUGGAUCAGAAUGCCACGGUGAAUACGUUCCCGGGCCUUGUACACACCGCCCGUCACACCAUGGGAGUGGGUUGCAAAAGAAGUAGGUAGCUUAACCUUCGGGAGGGCGCUUACCACUUUGUGAUUCAUGACUGGGGUGAAGUCGUAACAAGGUAACCGUAGGGGAACCUGCGGUUGGAUCACCUCCUUACCUUAAAGAA
This 689-nucleotide ribosomal RNA is filed under the name Escherichia coli. Its description in RNAcentral is "bacterial SSU rRNA". It matches the Rfam family "Bacterial small subunit ribosomal RNA", at positions 854 to 1533 of the family's 1533-position model. Lineage: Bacteria; Pseudomonadati; Pseudomonadota; Gammaproteobacteria; Enterobacterales; Enterobacteriaceae. The record is from RNAcentral.